This 253-nucleotide ribosomal RNA is filed under the name uncultured bacterium. RNAcentral describes it as "partial 16S ribosomal RNA". It matches the Rfam family "Bacterial small subunit ribosomal RNA", at positions 524 to 776 of the family's 1533-position model. The record is from RNAcentral.
UACGAGGGGUGCAAACGUUAUUCGGAAUGACUGGGCGUAAAGGGUGCGUAGACGGCGCAUUAAGUUUGCUGUUAAAUUCUUCAGCCUAACUGAAGAUCAGCGGUGAAAACUGGUGUGCUAGAGGUUGGAAGAGAGAAGUGGAAUUCUCGGAGUAGCGGUAAAAUGCGUAGAUCUCGAGAGGAACACCGAUGGCGAAAGCAGCUUCUUGGUCCAAUCCUGACGUUGAGGCACGAAAGCGUGGGGAGCAAACAGG